Molecule: ribosomal RNA, 539 nt
Filed under: Micrococcus luteus
Lineage: Bacteria; Bacillati; Actinomycetota; Actinomycetes; Micrococcales; Micrococcaceae
Description: bacterial SSU rRNA
Rfam family: Bacterial small subunit ribosomal RNA
Source: RNAcentral
AACCUUACCAAGGCUUGACAUGUUCUCGAUCGCCGUAGAGAUACGGUUUCCCCUUUGGGGCGGGUUCACAGGUGGUGCAUGGUUGUCGUCAGCUCGUGUCGUGAGAUGUUGGGUUAGUCCCGCAACGAGCGCAACCCUCGUUCCAUGUUGCCAGCACGUCGUGGUGGGGGACUCAUGGGAGACUGCGGGGGUCAACUCGGAGGAAGGUGAGGACGACGUCAAAUCAUCAUGCCCCCUUAUGUCUUGGGCUUCACGCAUGCUACAAUGGCCGGUACAAUGGGUUGCGAUACUGUGAGGUGGAGCUAAUCCCAAAAAGCCGGUCUCAGUUCGGAUUGGGGUCUGCAACUCGACCCCAUGAAGUCGGAGUCGCUAGUAAUCGCAGAUCAGCAACGCUGCGGUGAAUACGUUCCCGGGCCUUGUACACACCGCCCGUCAAGUCACGAAAGUCGGUAACACCCGAAGCCGGUGGCCUAACCCUUGUGGGGGGAGCCGUCGAAGGUGGGACCAGCGAUUGGGACUAAGUCGUAACAAGGUAGCCC